This 403-nucleotide ribosomal RNA is filed under the name uncultured bacterium. Its description in RNAcentral is "bacterial SSU rRNA". It matches the Rfam family "Bacterial small subunit ribosomal RNA", at positions 355 to 774 of the family's 1533-position model. The record is from RNAcentral.
UAGGGAAUAUUGCACAAUGGGCGAAAGCCUGAUGCAGCGACGCCGCGUGCGCGAAGAAGGUCUUCGGAUCGUAAAGCGCUUUUCUGGUAGAUGAGAAAGGACAGUAUCCCAGGAAUAAGUCUCGGCUAACUACGUGCCAGCAGCCGCGGUAACACGUAGGAGGCGAGCGUUAUCCGGAUUCACUGGGCGUAAAGCGCGUGCAGGCGGUUCGGUAAGUUGGGCGUGAAAUCUCCCGGCUCAACUGGGAGAGGUCGUUCAAUACUACCGAACUUGAGAGCGAUAGAGGAAAAUGGAAUUCCCGGUGUAGUGGUGAAAUGCGUAGAUAUCGGGAGGAACACCAGUGGCGAAAGCGAUUCUCUGGAUCGUUUCUGACGCUCAGACGCGAAAGCUAGGGUAGCAAACG